RNAcentral lists this long non-coding RNA (1703 nucleotides) under Canis lupus familiaris (dog). RNAcentral describes it as "lncRNA (ENSCAFG00030006017.1)". The record is from RNAcentral. Lineage: Eukaryota; Metazoa; Chordata; Mammalia; Carnivora; Canidae.
GUCGGGACAAGAGCCCAGGAAUUGGCAUGUUAUGAAGCACUGUCAUUGAAGAGGACAAUCUGGUGGCCCUGGGCCCCACCCCCAGAGCCCGUAGCUCACACCCCUCCAGAAGGGUGUUCCCAGCGGGGCCUGGGGCAGGAGGUCUUGAGAGGCCCCAGGGAGGCCCCCCUCCCCCUCCAGAUGCGGUCCAGGGAAUAGCGUUUGGAAUCCCAGGGAACUCCGGCACAGCCGGGCUUUGGCCAAAAGCAUCACUAAUCACCUGGACAGCGACGGCCAGUCCAUGCAGUCCUCCCGGCAGCUGUCGGCGGAUCUCAGUGCUGCCCCACGGCUUGGAUGGGGAAAUGGAGGCCGCCCACAGGAAGUGGCCUGGCGGGCCAGGGCCAAGACCACACCCAGCGAUCCCCAGGCCAGGGACCCUCCCCAGCCCAGCAGGUCUUCCCUACCUUGGCUCCACUGGACACAAUCUUCGAAAGCGUCAGGCCAGUGAACGGUCUGAUUUUGCCAGAGGCCCGAGACCCGGACCCAGGCAGGCCAUGCCGAGACCCGGAGACGUGAGGGCCCGGCUCGUCCCUUCCACCCCUCCUCUGACGGGCGGGAAACUGAGGCCCAGAAAGGGACAGACAGCGACUUGCCCAAAGCGCUUGCAAGGCUGUGGGGGUGCUAGGACAGCGCCCUCCACCCAGCCCCCUGCCCAGCGCUCUUGACUGCAGGCUGCCUUCUAGAUGCUUCUAUCAGCAUCCCUCUGGGAGCUUAUCUUCAACCCGCCUGAAAUUAUCCGCAGGAUCCACGGUGGCCUGCGCUCACCGAGGGCUCCGGGACAGGCACAGGGCCGGGGCCUCCUGGGUCUCGCCCAUCCUCUGUCCUGGGCUGUUGUGAACUCCUCAAAUCUGAAAGUCCGAGAUUUCCUCUCCGUGUCACGGAUGAGACCACGGAAGCACAGAGAGGUGAAGCGAGGUGCCCACGGUCACACAGCUGGUCCAUGGGGAGCAGGACGUCAGCCCAGGGCGAGCGGCUCCGCCACCUGUGCCGUUAACUCUGCGACGGUGACCAAGUGCUCGGGUGAGAAUCCUCUCCCCAGCCUCUGUGUGGACCCGGCUCCCGGCUCUAGGAUGCCCUGGUCAGCUGCCUCUUUGUCCUCCUCUUCUUCCCCCUUCCUCCUACUUCUCCCUCCUCCUCCUUCUCCCUCCUUCCUCCUCCUUCUCCCUCCUUCACCCUCCUUCUCCAUCCUUCUCCCUCCUUUGUCCUCCUUCCUCCUUCUUCCUCCACCCUCCUCCUCCCUCCUCCUUCCCUCUCCCUCCUCCAUCCUUCUCCUUCCUUCAUCUUCCUUCUCCCUCCUUCUUCCUCCUCUCUUUCUCCCUCCUCCUUCUUUCUCCCUGCUUCAUCCUUCUCCUUCCUUCGUCCUCCUUCUCCCUCCUUCCUCCUCCCUCUCCCUCCUUCUCCCCCCUCCAUCCUUCUCCCUCCUUCUCCCUCCUUCUCCCUCCUUCUUCCUCCUCCAUCCUUCUCCCUCCUUCGUCCUCCUUCUCCCUCCUUCAGCCUCCUUCUUCCUCCUUCAUCCUCCCACCUCCCCCUUUUCUUCCCCUUCCUCCCCUGCCCCCGAUGUGUGCACCCCCAGCAGAACGUCAGCUCCAGGAGAAAGCUGUCUUGUCCACCCCGUGUGUGUGUGUGUGUGUGUGUGUGUCGGGAGGCUCACCUCCUGGAUCUGA